AUGAGUUGUUUGUUUGUUUAUUCACAGAUUUUUGGAGGGGGCACAGGGUGUUUGUGUGUAGGUGUUUGUAUGUAGGCCAAAGAUCAACCUCUGCACAAUGUCAGUUCUCAGGAGAUCGUCAUGUUGUAUUUUGAUAGAGUCUUCCUCUGGGACCUGGGACACACUGACUGGUCAGCAAGGCCCAUGG
Molecule: long non-coding RNA, 187 nt
Filed under: Mus pahari (shrew mouse)
Lineage: Eukaryota; Metazoa; Chordata; Mammalia; Rodentia; Muridae
Description: lncRNA (MGP_PahariEiJ_G0003324.1)
Source: RNAcentral